UGUCUGGGGGCAGCGCUGAUCUGCCUAGAAGUUGAGACGCUCUUAACGCAGACGCGCAGCGAGAUUUGCUGAAAUUCAUCUGCUCGCCGCACCAGACUGGACUCAAACACUUCAACUGCGAGGAGAGAGGAAGAGAAGGUGUUCAGAUCUCUCACAGCCUGCUACAGAAGAGCGAUGGAUUCGCGGAGAAUCGCAGCUUUGCUCCUUGCUGCCUGCCUCAGCGCGUCAGCUUCAGACCAGUUCGACACGGAGUGUUAUACAGCAAAUGGAGAGGACUACAGAGGUCGACAGAACCAGACAAGCCUGGAAGGAGGAAGACCGUGCCUUUUCUGGAAUGAGACUUUCCAGCAUCCAUACAACACCAUCAAGUACCCCAAUGGAGAAGGAGGUCUUGGACCACACAACUUCUGCAGGAACCCAGAUGGAGAUGUUCGGCCAUGGUGUUAUAUCGCAGAUCUCGAGGAUGGGAUCUACUGGAAAUACUGUGAUAUUCCCACCUGCCAAAUGCCUGGAAACCUGGGCUGUUUUAAGGACAGCGGUGAUCCAACACCUCUGUCUGGAGGCUACCAGACCUCCAACAAACUCACCAUUCAGAACUGCAUCAGCUUCUGCCGCAACCAGAGAUACAAGCUUGCCGGUAUGGAAUCAGGCUAUGCUUGUUUCUGUGGCAACGACAUUGAUUAUCAUCGUCACGGUGACGCUCCGAGCACAGAGUGUAACCAUGUGUGUUUUGGGGAUCACACUCAGCCAUGUGGAGGCGAUGGACGCGUCAUAGUCUUCGACACAAAAGUAGGCGCUUGUGGGGGAAACUUCACAUCGCCCUCCGGAGUGAUCUACUCUCCUGAUUUCCCGGACAAAUACAAACCUGGCAGGGUCUGCUACUGGACCAUUCAGGUUCCAGGUGCUUCUGUCCUUCUGUUCAACUUUACUUUCUUCAAUAUCGUGGAUCAGACUGAUAUGGUGGAGCUGUUGGAUGGCUACUCCAAUCAGGUGUUGGCGCGAUUUGACGGCCGCAAUCCACCGCGGGACAUCGUGAACAUCACUGCAGACUUCGUCAUUUUGUAUUUUUACUCGGACAGGACAAAUGAGGCGCAAGGAUUUUCUGUUCUUUAUCAUGCUUUAAGAAAUCAAGCCGUCACACCUCUGGAGGAGGAUGACGAUGGUGAUGAAGAGGACACCAGUACAGCGCAGCCGCAUACGGGAAGCACUACAGCAAAAUCAAACACCAGUCAGAAUGGAAAAUCCUCCCUCCGGUACUAUGUAAUCACAUCAAGUCCUGCAAAGAUGCCAGGUCAGUGGCAUGAACCGGGCCGGACCGCGGGCCACAGCACCAUGUGGACCAUCUACGCAUUAGCUGCUCUGCUAACGCUAACAGUCAUAGCCAUGGUGGCUAAGCUGCUCCUGCAUCUUACUGUAAAAUCCCCGGCCAUCCCGUCAAUCAGCGGGUCGGAUUCGUGCGCGCAGAGCACCACGUCUGAACCCUGGAUCAUCUUCUACAGACCUUCCACCAUCUCUCUGUUUAAGAAGAAACUCAAGAACCACCAUGGAGACCUCAGCCCUCUCGUGGGAAACUAACCUCACUGCCUCUGACCUCUACGGCUGCUUUAGCCCCUAAAGGAUGCACACACUGUACA
This is a long non-coding RNA of Sinocyclocheilus anshuiensis, 1634 nucleotides long. Ensembl annotates it as kremen protein 1-like. NCBI's taxonomy places the organism in Eukaryota, Metazoa, Chordata, Actinopteri, Cypriniformes, Cyprinidae. The record is from Ensembl.